AAAAAAGGAAAGAAAUUGAAAUUAUGACAUCAUAAGGAUGUCAUUAAAAGUCUCCAACCCAAUCAAGUGUUGAUACAUGUCACCAAGGUAUAUAAAAGAGACAAAGGGGCUGGAAAAGGAACAAAAAAAAUCAGACUUCUUCUCCCUUUCUCCUUCCUUACGUGACAAACCCAUCCACCAUUGCCAACCAUAGCAAGCUUUUUCAAAGCUUGAUUUCCUUAGCUCUCACCCCACUAAACCUUAUACUCCCAAAACAAAAAAGUGUCCUUACCCCUUGGUGAUUCUUUUGGGAGCAAAAAAAAAAGAAGAAAACAAGAGUUUUAGCAAGUGGGAAAAUCUCACUCCUUUGAGGUUAGUGACCUAAC
RNAcentral lists this unclassified non-coding RNA (365 nucleotides) under Hevea brasiliensis (rubber tree). Lineage: Eukaryota; Viridiplantae; Streptophyta; Magnoliopsida; Malpighiales; Euphorbiaceae. The record is from RNAcentral.